This 468-nucleotide ribosomal RNA is filed under the name uncultured bacterium. RNAcentral's name for it is "partial 16S ribosomal RNA". It matches the Rfam family "Bacterial small subunit ribosomal RNA", at positions 28 to 507 of the family's 1533-position model. The record is from RNAcentral.
GACGAACGCUGGCGGCGUGCUUAACACAUGCGAGUCGAACGGAAAGGCCCUGCUUUUGUGGGGUGCUCGAGUGGCGAACGGGUGAGUAACACGUGAGUAACCUGCCCUUGACUUUGGGAUAACUUCAGGAAACUGGGGCUAAUACCGGAUAGGAGCUCCUGCUGCAUGGUGGGGGUUGGAAAGUUUCGGCGGUUGGGGAUGGACUCGCGGCUUAUCAGCUUGUUGGUGGGGUAGUGGUUUACCAAGGCUUUGACGGGUAGCCGGCCUGAGAGGGUGACCGGCCACAUUGGGACUGAGAUACGGCCCAGACUCCUACGGGAGGCAGCAGUGGGGAAUAUUGCACAAUGGGCGGAAGCCUGAUGCAGCAACGCCGCGUGCGGGAUGACGGCCUUCGGGUUGUAAACCGCUUUCGCCUGUGACGAAGCGUGAGUGACGGUAAUGGGUAAAGAAGCACCGGCUAACUACGUG